AGUCAGUAGGAGUAGACCCGAAACCGGGUGAUCUAUCCAUGUCCAGGUUGAAGCUGCCGUAAGAGGUAGUGGAGGACCGAACCCACAUCCGUUGAAAAGGGUGGGGAUGAGGUGUGGAUAGGGGAGAAAUUCCAAUCGAACCCGGAGAUAGCUGGUUCUCCUCGAAAUAGCUUUAGGGCUAGCCUCGAUACAGAUUUGCGGAGGUAGAGCACUGAAUUUCCUAGGGGGCGUCAAAGCCUACCGAAGAAUAUCAAACUCCGAAUGCCGCGUAAUCGAUUAUCGGGAGUCAGACUGCACGAGAUAAGUUGGGCGGUCAAAAGGGAAAGAGCCCAGACCUUCAGUUAAGGUCCCCAAGUGCGCGUUAAGUGGAAAAGGAUGUGGGAUUUCGAAGACAACCAGGAUGUUGGCUCAGAAGCAGCCAUCCAUUCAAAGAGUGCGUAAUAGCUCACUGGUCGAGAGGUCCUGCGCCGAAAAUGUCCGGGGCUGAAACGCGCCACCGAAACUAAGGAACCGAAAGGUUGGUAGAGGAGCAUUGCAUGCGGGAAGAAGCAGUACCG
This 557-nucleotide ribosomal RNA is filed under the name Blautia wexlerae. Its description in RNAcentral is "partial 23S ribosomal RNA". It matches the Rfam family "Bacterial large subunit ribosomal RNA", at positions 698 to 1263 of the family's 2925-position model. Lineage: Bacteria; Bacillati; Bacillota; Clostridia; Lachnospirales; Lachnospiraceae. The record is from RNAcentral.